This is a long non-coding RNA of Manis pentadactyla (Chinese pangolin), 913 nucleotides long. RefSeq lists it as uncharacterized. Lineage: Eukaryota; Metazoa; Chordata; Mammalia; Pholidota; Manidae. The transcript has 3 exons. The record is from RefSeq and is a predicted model, not a curated record.
AAUCCCUUAUAAGCGCCCCACCUCCCUAACCGGGCAUGACUUCUCUGGCCUGUAGUACCCAGGCCGUGAGAACAUCACCUGGGGGUAUUUAAAUAAAGUACCUGGCCCUUUGUUGCCUCUCUUUGCCUGCUUAUUCCGGCUAGAAUUUAUCUUACAGAUGGUGCCGAAACGCGGGAGGAGUGUGAGCGCAGGGCCCCGACCGGCCACUGGCGGCCCCACCCCCUCCUUCCCCGACCCAGGACCUCAGCCUGCUCUCCGCUGCGUGGACUAUUUUCCGAAAUAUCAGAAUUUCCUUAUGUCAACUGUCUUACAGUAAGCUCUCAUCAGAUCUUUAACCACUGUCAUUUGUUCCUCCAACAGCAGCUAACCCAGAUGACCCAAGUCGCCAACAACCAGAUGUUACUUCACCGUUACGCACCUCUUCCCACUGAACCCCCUCCUUCGGCCUAAUCCAGCCUCAAACCCCCACGCUGCCCCUUGUCAGCUGGAAGUAGCCAGAUUGAGUCGUCGCCCAUUAUGACCAAAAGGCUGGAAUGUUAGGCUGGAGAAAGGAAAAACAAGGACAUGCAAACAGAACAGAGAGAUGCCAUAGGGGGAGAACAAACCAGACCCCUAAGUCCGUGCCGUAUAUGGAAAGGGGACAGCUCUCCCUGAAUUCCAUCCUGAUGUGCCAACUGGGACGUGGAUGUCAGCCUCCUCCCUCUUGGAAGGAAAAAAGUUUCUAGUUGACUAUUAUGUCACCUUUAGCCAAUCAUACCUCUCAACACCCCGGUAAGAUAGUUUGCCCACUCCUCCCCCUCCUAAUCCCUUAUAAGCGCCCCACCUCCCUAACCGGGCGUGACUUCUCCGGCCUGUAGUACCCAGGCCGUGAGAACAUCACCUGGGGGUAUUUAAAUAAAGUACCUGGCCCUUU